Molecule: long non-coding RNA, 1492 nt
Organism: Vidua macroura (Pin-tailed whydah)
Lineage: Eukaryota; Metazoa; Chordata; Aves; Passeriformes; Viduidae
Exons: 3
Source: RefSeq, a predicted model, not a curated record
GGGCUCACAGGCAUCUCUACAGGGUAUAAAUAGCCCUGAGGCCGUGCUUAAGUGUCAGUUCUCUUUCUGCUCGUGUUUCUUGACUAUAUGAGCACCUGUGGGGCUGCCUCUGACUUGGCCCAUGUAGGUCUCCAGAAGCCCAGCAAAACAUCUCUCAACAUCAGUCCAUUUCCACAGAGACCACAAAUGCUGCCACUGACACACAGAGAAACAUAGGCACUGACAAUGGCUGUUCAUCCCUUCCUGAGGUUGCUUGGAUAACUAUUUUGUGAGGAAUCUGGAGUGAUAAUGUUUAAAGUGCCUAAUUCUUAGGCAGCUAAAUGAGAAGAAGCUUAUCCUUCAUACCCUUCAUUAAGAACUGAACCAGUUCAGCUAAAAUGCUGCAUAAUUAUUACAUAAACUAUCUGAUAUUCCCAAAUGCCAGUGGGGCACAGCUGAUAAAUCUCUGCCUUGUUUCCUGCUUCCCACGUGAAAAUGGCCAGGCUAAACACUGGCUGGUUUUGAAUUAGAGCAGCAAGAAAGGAAGAUCACCUGAGAGAUGCCUCCCUCUGUGUAAAUGUGUACUCAAAUACACAAGAAAAUAAUAUGAAGGAGAGCAGAUUUUGCAGUAGUCUAGUUAGAGAUUAGUAUUUGUAUUUUUUAGAUAAGCCCCUUCAUAUAGCUGAAUAGCUCUUUUUUUCUGGCAAACUGGUAAAGCUUGUCUUUUUGUGUGAAAUACACCAUAACUUGCACAAUGAGGUGAAAGUCUCAUAAACAGACAGUUUGAAAGAAAGUAGCUGUCUUUUGCUAAACAGAUGUGGGGUCAAUUUCAGAUGUCAAUAAUAAAAAAAUAAAAUGCUUGAAAACAGGGAAAUAAAUAACUGAAAAAGAACAUGGAAAUUCAUAAUUUUCUGUAAAUUAAGCCAGGCUGUUAGAAUCACAAAUUCUGUAUUUAGUAACAGAUAUUGCAAUUCUGUGGAAGCUGGUUGUCCUUCUCUUAGGUGAUGUUUAUCUGCACAAAAUACACAUGGAAGGAUACCAAAGUGUGGUUCUUGAAUAUCUCUGUAAUUUUAUGUUGGUCAGUUUACAGACAAAUUCAGGAUGCCCUGACCUAAUCUGAAUGAAUUCAGGCUAUAUAAAAUCACAUAAACAUCCACAGUAGAAAAAGCGGUAUUCUGUUUAGAAUAAAAACAAACCACAGCCAAAUCACCCCACUUAUAAUCGCUACCCCAGAUUUCUGGUUUCCAUUCAUAAAAGCCAAAUGAAUGAAAAGGCCAGGUUAUUGAGGUGGCUUCCUGAGCCACACUUCCAGCAUAACAUGACAAAGGCUGAAUUUGUGUUUAGAAUUGGUAGAUUCAGUGACUCCUAAUCCAAGUUGUGUGUCUGGUUCCUUAAAAUGACCACCACAACUAUGAUCAGCAAUUGCAUCAACAUUAGACAAUUUUGCGAUGUGUAAUGUGGCUUACAUCUGUGGCUAGAAGGCAGGAAAAACUAAUUUAAUAGUCACUGUUUU